This 274-nucleotide ribosomal RNA is filed under the name uncultured bacterium. Its description in RNAcentral is "partial 16S ribosomal RNA". It matches the Rfam family "Archaeal small subunit ribosomal RNA", at positions 473 to 747 of the family's 1478-position model. The record is from RNAcentral.
ACACCAGCACCUCAAGUGGUCAGGAUGAUUAUUGGGCCUAAAGCAUCCGUAGCCUGCUCUGUAAGUUUUCGGUUAAAUCUGUAUGCUCAACAUACAGGCUGCCGGGAAUACUGCAGAGCUAGGGAGUGGGAGAGGUAGACGGUACUCGGGAGGAAGUGGUAAAAUGCUUUGAUCUCUCGAUGACCACCUGUGGCGAAGGCGGUCUACCAGAACACGUCCGACGGUGAGGGAUGAAAGCUGGGGGAGCAAACCGGAUUAGAAACCCCGGUAGUCC